GACGAACGCUGGCGGCGUGCCUAAUACAUGCAAGUAGAACGCUGAAGGAGGAGCUUGCUUCUCUGGAUGAGUUGCGAACGGGUGAGUAACGCGUAGGUAACCUGCCUGGUAGCGGGGGAUAACUAUUGGAAACGAUAGCUAAUACCGCAUAAGAGUAGAUGUUGCAUGACAUUUGCUUAAAAGGUGCAAUUGCAUCACUACCAGAUGGACCUGCGUUGUAUUAGCUAGUUGGUGAGGUAACGGCUCACCAAGGCGACGAUACAUAGCCGACCUGAGAGGGUGAUCGGCCACACUGGGACUGAGACACGGCCCAGACUCCUACGGGAGGCAGCAGUAGGGAAUCUUCGGCAAUGGACGGAAGUCUGACCGAGCAACGCCGCGUGAGUGAAGAAGGUUUUCGGAUCGUAAAGCUCUGUUGUAAGAGAAGAACGAGUGUGAGAGUGGAAAGUUCACACUGUGACGGUAUCUGACCAGAAAGGGACGGCUAACUACGUG
Molecule: ribosomal RNA, 495 nt
Filed under: uncultured bacterium
Lineage: Bacteria
Description: partial 16S ribosomal RNA
Rfam family: Bacterial small subunit ribosomal RNA
Source: RNAcentral